GCCUCUAUAGCACAGUGGUAGUGCGUUCCCUUCGUAAGGGAAAGGUCGUGAGUUCGAUCCUCACUGGAGGCA
Molecule: transfer RNA, 72 nt
Organism: Marchantia polymorpha subsp. polymorpha
Lineage: Eukaryota; Viridiplantae; Streptophyta; Marchantiopsida; Marchantiales; Marchantiaceae
Rfam family: tRNA
About the family: Transfer RNA (tRNA) molecules are approximately 80 nucleotides in length. Their secondary structure includes four short double-helical elements and three loops (D, anti-codon, and T loops). Further hydrogen bonds mediate the characteristic L-shaped molecular structure. tRNAs have two regions of fundamental functional importance: the anti-codon, which is responsible for specific mRNA codon recognition, and the 3' end, to which the tRNAs corresponding amino acid is attached (by aminoacyl-tRNA synthetases). tRNAs cope with the degeneracy of the genetic code in two manners: having more than one tRNA (with a specific anti-codon) for a particular amino acid; and 'wobble' base-pairing, i.e. permitting non-standard base-pairing at the 3rd anti-codon position.
Source: Rfam